CAAAAGGAGUCUACAAGAAUGUCAAUAUCGAGAUAAGAUGGCGUCUACUUCCUCUGGUAAAACACCUAAAGGAAUCUUAAAACAGACUAAUUCUUUGGAGGAUCAGAGUGUGGAGGUGCAUUUCGAUGAAAUGAACAUUUUGCAAACAUAUCAUCCAUCAAACAAAGAUUAUGGUCACAUGAAGAUAAAUGAACCGCCAACGCCUUACAGUUAUUCUUGUGAAGAUUCUGAUACUGAGUCCAAUGAAAAACUAGAUCCAAAAAAGUUGGCAGAAAAAAUGCAAAAUGUUGAAUCAACGUCUAAACAUGAAUCGUAUGACAGAAAUGAAAGCAGUUCUGAUGAAGAUAUGGAUCUGACAGAAGAAGAAAGAAAUCUUAGUCUUCAAUCUAUAUUUAUACAAGAACAAUUUACCUGUAACCAACGGAUGCCACCUUUUCUUCUUCUUCAUUAUCUUCAGCAAUGAAAGGAUUUGGUUUAUCAAACUUCUCCUUUUCCUCUGAGCGUUUUAAGACUUGCUGUGAGAAAUUUUGGUUUAUGAAAGUUGCUUCCAGACCAAGGAUCAUCAGUCAUUGUGACUUUAUGGAAAAUCCUGUUUUGCAAGGCAAGUGGGACUUCAUUCUUAAUGUUGACACGAUCAUAAGCCUUGUCAUAAUAUUCCAGUUCACCACAUUUUACCCUAUUUAACAAAGCACAGAAAUGGAGAGAUCUUCAUAAACACAUAAAAACAAGAUAUUAUAACCUUCCACUCUUCCCGAAUCAUCACAGACGCAUUACGUAUCCUUUGAGGAGUCUACAUAUAAGUUAAACAUAUAGAUAUAAAAUUACAGUAUAUCCAUAAGUGUACCAGUCAUGUUACUAUAUAUUUAUUAUAUAUCCUCUGAGGAGUCUACAUAUAAGUUAAACAUAUAGAUAUAAUAUUACAGUACAUCCAUAAGUGUACCAGUCAUGUUACUAUAUAUUUAUUAUGUAUCCUCUGAGGAGUCUACAUAUAAGUUAAAUAUAUAGAUAUAAAAUUACAGUAUAUCCAUAAGUGUACCAGUCAUGUUACUAUAUAUUUAUUAUAUAUCCUCUGAGGAGUCUACAUAUAAGUUAAACAUAUAGAUAUAAAAUUACAGUACAUCCAUAAGUGUACCAGUCAUGUUACUAUAUAUUUAUUAUGUAUCCUCUGAGGAGUCUACAUAUAAGUUAAACAUAUAGAUAUAAAAUUACAGUACAU
Xenia sp. Carnegie-2017 is the source of this 1216-nucleotide RNA transcript. It is a transcript of the gene named protein phosphatase inhibitor 2-like, with no coding region annotated. The transcript is spliced from 5 exons. The record is from RefSeq and is a predicted model, not a curated record. Lineage: Eukaryota; Metazoa; Cnidaria; Anthozoa; Malacalcyonacea; Xeniidae.